Suricata suricatta (meerkat) is the source of this 1677-nucleotide long non-coding RNA. RefSeq lists it as uncharacterized. The transcript is spliced from 2 exons. NCBI's taxonomy places the organism in Eukaryota, Metazoa, Chordata, Mammalia, Carnivora, Herpestidae. The record is from RefSeq and is a predicted model, not a curated record.
UGUGUGAUGCUCCUUUAGCCCCGGGGCAGUACCGUCAGGCUCUAGCCCCAGCCUUUUGGGCAGAUCCCUGAGGCCCCUACAGGAGAGUUUUUUGCUCAAAAAGCUGCAGGUCAAAGCGGACCCAGACCUCCCCGGUGGGGACCUCGUGCAGCAGGAGUCGGCGGGUUGUGGGGCCUUUGCUUUCCUGUUCUGUGCGAAUUUUUGCCACUGGAACUUCAGUGCGACCCAGGAAAUCUGGAGAAUAGACAUGUGAGAGUCAAAGGAGGAGUGUCUGAAAACAUUCGUAAGAUUUUCAAAUCCAGAACAGUUAACUUCUUUUGGUGAGUGGCUGUCUGAUAACUGUGCAUGGACGCACGUCCAGUGGGAGGUCCAUGGGAGGGAAACUGCCUUCUUGGAAUCCAAGUUCCUUCAGGCAGAGCGUGUCUCACCCAUUGAGUAGGUUCUGGGAGCAGGGUUUCUGUUGUGUAAGUAGGGAGUGACGGGGGUCCAUGACUGACACGCCAGGGACCAUCCCUCCUCCUGGAAGACCCGUCCCACUUCCCACAUGAGCUGCAGGUGCCCGUGGGCCCAUGUCAUUUUCCUUAGGUAUCACAGGGAAAGCCAAGCACCCUGGAUCUAGACCCUAAAUUCUAGAGUAUUCAGAUUCCCUGGUCGAGUUAUACUUUACCAUCUGGUGAAAACUGGUCUCUGUCAAACAUGGUGAGACACAGCACAUCUUGGUAAAGGUCCUUGAUAAAGAACUGGCAGUUAAAAUUCCACUUGGGAUUGAGUGUGUCCUGGAGGGUUCUGGUGGUAUAGCUCUGGGAGCCCAUGCUGAUUUCACAGUAUGGAUUGCUCUUUCCUGGACAAAAACAAACCAAAGACACAUGUGGCAUGUGUACGUAAGAUAAAUGACGACAGGACCUUACUUGAGCAGAAGCAGGAGCCAAAUGGAUGCUUCUCUGUAAGCCACGACAGCAGGGGCACUGACUGAGGGCCCAGCCCAGACUGAGGGUCUCCAUAUCCCCAGUGCUGAUAGCUUCAUAAACUAGGGAGCACCUGUGUGGGCUCCAGCGCCCCAAAUGCUCCCCGUGAGGCUGGACACGUGUCUGUGCAAUUUCUACUCAGAAGCCCUGAGGAAUGAGGCGCUGGUACUUAUUAGCAAGACACAGUGAGGAUACUAUUGGUCCAAUAACCAUUUUAGUGGCACUGGAAACACUGAUUUUUUAAACGUGUCCCAUUAUUCAAUGUUCAGAAGAAUCAUCAGCAAAGAAUAGGCCAGUUACCACAUCUGUUGAAUGAAAGAAGCAUUUACCAUUGGGUUUACAGGCUUUUAGUUCUGUAGCUUCGAUGACGUGCACCAUCAGACGCCCGAUGCCUGAAGUCUUUUGAGAGCGAGCUACAAGAGAGGAAGACGAGUGACAUCAGUUUCUUCUCUGAGAACGCAGGUCUGAAGAUGCGCGUCCAAUCCCACACGUCACUCCCCGCUCUCUACCCCGCCCUGCGCAUCCAUUAACUCAGCUUAGGAGCGCCCCACAGCCCGCUGGUUCUGAAAUUCUGUGUCCUGUCCGUCCUCUGUCAGGAAAGGCGGCUGCAGGGCGUCUACUGCUUAUUCAGCCUUGUAUUAAUAAACAUCCCAUUGGCUAGCAAAUGGUAAUAUUAAUAAAAUAAUACAUUAUAUCCAUUCAGCACUUAAAA